RNAcentral lists this ribosomal RNA (943 nucleotides) under uncultured Inocybe. RNAcentral's name for it is "eukaryotic LSU rRNA". The stretch from base 570 to 943 matches the Rfam family "Eukaryotic large subunit ribosomal RNA", at positions 1 to 364 of the family's 3401-position model. Lineage: Eukaryota; Fungi; Basidiomycota; Agaricomycetes; Agaricales; Cortinariaceae. The record is from RNAcentral.
GAUCAUUAUCGAAUAAACUUGAACAGGUUGUUGCUGGCCCUCUGGGCAUGUGCACGCUUGUCCAUCUUUAUCAUUUCUCCAACUUGUGCACUUAUUGUAGACCUUUAGAUUUUGGGACUGCUGUGCUUGUCAUCAGUCGGCUUUCCCUUUCUUUUUAUUAAGGUCUAUAUGAUUCACACAAUCUCAUAAAUGUCGAAUGUAUGUUUAAAAACAAAAGAAAUAUAUACAACUUUCAGCAACGGAUCUCUUGGCUCUCGUAUCGAUGAAGAACGCAGCGAAAUGCGAUAAGUAAUGUGAAUUGCAGAAUUCAGUGAAUCAUCGAAUUUUUGAACGCAUCUUGCGCUCCUUGGUAUUCCAAGGAGCAUGCCUGUUUGAGUGUCAUCAAGUUCUCAACCACAUAUUUUUUGUGGCUUGGAUUGUGGGGGUGUUGCUGGCUUUUAUAUAAAAGUAGGCUCUCCUUAAAUGCAUAAGUGGUGUUUAGAAAAGCUACGUGUUGGGUGUUGUAAAUUAAUAAUACACCUUUUUGGCAAUUCUAAUAUGCUGCUUCCAACCCUUUGUUUUGACAAUUUUGACCUCAAAUCAGGUAGGACUACCCGCUGAACUUAAGCAUAUCAAUAAGCGGAGGAAAAGAAACUAACAAGGAUUCCCUCAGUAACUGCGAGUGAAGUGGGAAAAGCUCAAAUUUGAAAUCUGGCAGGUUCUACACACUGCCCGAAUUGUAAUCUAAAGAAGUGCUAUCUGUGCUGGACCAUGUAAAAGUCUUCUGGAAUGGAGCAUCAUAGAGGGUGAGAAUCCCGUCUUUGACAUGGACUACCAGUAUGUUUAUGAUACACUCUCAAAGAGUCGAGUUGUUUGGGAAUGCAGCUCAAAAUGGGUGGUAAAUGCCAUCUAAAGCUAAAUAUUGGCGAGAGACCGAUAGCGAACAAGUACCGUGAGGGAAAGA